Molecule: ribosomal RNA, 478 nt
Filed under: uncultured bacterium
Lineage: Bacteria
Description: partial 16S ribosomal RNA
Rfam family: Bacterial small subunit ribosomal RNA
Source: RNAcentral
GACGAACGCUGGCGGCGUGCUUCGCACAUGCAAGUCGAACGGUAAGGCCCUUCGGGGUACACGAGUGGCGAACGGGUGAGUAACACGUGGGUGAUCUGCCCUGCACUUCGGGAUAAGCCUGGGAAACUGGGUCUAAUACCGGAUAGGACCACUUCCUGCAUGGUUGGGAGUGGAAAGCUUUUGCGGUGGGGGAUGGGCCCGCGGACUAUCAGCUUGUUGGUGGGGUGAUGGCCUACCAAGGCGACGACGGGUAGCCGGCCUGAGAGGGUGAGCGGCCACACUGGGAAUGAGAUACGGCCCAGACUCCUACGGGAGGCAGCAGUGGGGAAUAUUGCACAAUGGGCGCAAGCCUGAUGCAGCGACGCCGCGUGAGGGAUGACGGCCUUCGGGUUGUAAACCUCUUUCAGCACCGACGAAGCGCAAGUGACGGUAGGUGCAGAAGAAGGACCGGCCAACUACGUGCCAGCAGCCGCAGUAA